Molecule: transfer RNA, 77 nt
Filed under: Taklimakanibacter albus
Lineage: Bacteria; Pseudomonadati; Pseudomonadota; Alphaproteobacteria; Hyphomicrobiales; Aestuariivirgaceae
Description: tRNA-Arg
Rfam family: tRNA
About the family: Transfer RNA (tRNA) molecules are approximately 80 nucleotides in length.
Source: RNAcentral
GCCCUCGUAGCUCAGCGGAUCAGAGCGCCGGCCUUCUAAACCGGAUGUCGGCCGUUCGAAUCGGCCCGAGGGCACCA